AGAGGGGGGGAAGAGCGCGGAGCCGACGGUGGUUGGUAGAAACUAGGAAUAAAAUCCCGCGGUUACAAUCACCACCGAGAUCCGUUCCUCCGUCUCUGCCUCUUCCUCCUCCUCCUCCUCCUCCUCCUCGUCGGCCGUCGCAGGGAAAGGAAGGCGAGGUCAGCGUUAGGGUUUUUGGGGGGAAGGGGACGGAUGGGGACGUUCCAGAGCUGGCGGCAGGCCUACGGGGCGCUCAAGGACACCACCAAGGUCGGCCUCGCCAAGGUCAACAGCGAAUUCAAGGAGCUCGACAUCGCCGUCGUCAAGGCCACGAACCACGUGGAAUGCCCGCCGAAGGAACGGCACGUUAGAAAAAUAUUUGUUGCUACGGCUGUAGAUAGGCCACGGACUGAUGUGGCUUAUUGCGUGCAUAUACUUGCUAGGAGAUUGGCCAAGACCCGUAACUGGGUGGUUGCCUUGAAAACAUUGAUAGUUAUCCACAGGGCAUUGAGAGAGGGCGAUCCUACAUUCAGAGAGGAUCUAUUAAACUAUUCCCGCAGAGGAAAUGUUCUGCGUAUAUCUAAUUUCAAGGAUGAUUCCAGUUCUCUUGCUUGGGAUUGCUCAGCAUGGGUUCGAACAUAUGCACUAUUCCUAGAGGAGCGGUUAGAGUGUUUUAGGAUUUUAAAAUAUGAUAUUGAAGCCGAACGUCUGAGGAAAGUUUCAGAUGGGGCUGCGAAGGGGCAAAGUAGAACAAAGAAUUUAGGUUGUCAGGAUCUUUUAGAUCAAUUGCCUGCUUUACAAAAUCUGCUCUACCGGCUAGUUGGCUGCCAGCCUGAAGGAGCAGCAAUUGGCAACUAUCUUAUACAGUAUGCAUUAGCUUUGGUUUUGAAAGAGAGCUUCAAAAUCUAUUGUGCAAUCAACGAUGGGAUUAUCAAUCUUGUGGAUUUGUUCUUUGAGAUGUCAAGACAUGAUGCCAUCAAAACGCUCGACAUCUAUAAAAGGGCCGGCCAGUUGGCUGAAAUUCUUGCUAGUUUCUAUGAGUUUUGCAAAGGUUUGGAGCUGGCCAGGAACUUUCAGUUUCCAAUUUUGAGAGAGCCACCGUUAUCAUUUCUUGCAACGAUGGAAGAAUACAUUAGGGAAGCUCCUCAUGUCGGUUCUGUUUCAAAUAAGACUCUGGAAUACCAAGAGAGGAAAUUAAUAACCAACAAACAAGAAGAAUCUUCCCCUUCAGAGAGUCAAAAACCAGCUGUAGAAGAUGAGAAAAAUUCACCAACCGAGACUGAAGAAAAAUCACAGCCUAUCAUGGAGGUAGCAGCUCAACCGGCAACAACUGUUGAUUUAUUGGGUUUGGAUGAAAUAAAUCCUGUUGCUGCUGAACUUGAGGAAAGCAAUGCAUUGGCUCUUGCUAUCAUUCCACAAGGGGAUGAUUCCAAACCCUCAAAUACUGGCGGCUUGGUUGGGAGUGGAAUUGAUUCUUCAGGAUGGGAGUUAGCUCUAGUCACAACACCAAGCAGUAAUAGUGACCAGUUGACCGACAACAAACUGGCUGGUGGAUUCGACAAGCUUUUGCUCAACAGCUUGUAUGAUGAUGCAGCCAGGCGGCAACAGAGCACAGGAGCAUACAGUGGGUUUGCCACCAAUCCUUUUGACUCGCAGGACCCUUUUGCUAUGUCCAACAAUUUUGCAGCACCACCCAACGUCCAGAUGGCUUUAAUAGCCCAGCAGCAGCAGUAUUAUCACCAGCAGCAAAGCAUGAUGAUGAUGCCGGACAACUAUCAACCUCACUAUCCUCAUUCCCAGGCUGCAUCUACCAAUCCGUUUGCUGAUCAUUUUGCUGGCUUCCCUCAGGCUGCUGCUCUACAUGGCAGAUCUGGUUUGAUUUGAUAUUUCCCCCAUUCUUUUUCCCGGAGGCAAUGCAUUCUUUUCUUCAUUAUACGUGCAAUAUACAUGUUCUUUCAUUCAUCUUAGUAGAUAAAAUGAAGGGAUAGAGAACUAGUUUCUUGUAAAGUGUGACGUGUUACCUUUCCUAUCGGAUUUGUAUUUCUUGAGUAUGAUUUUGAUCCAGAGGGCUUGAUGUAUUCGUUGUUCUUCUAAAUAUGCGUCCUGCUGCUUGAUCUGUGCGUGCCAAGUACUGCUUCCGGCCUUGUAUUUCUCAUUGCUCAAAUGUUUAGACAUUGUUGUCGUCACCAAACUUGUUUCUUAUAAUUUCAUUGAAGUCAUUAAAAAAAUAAAAUCUAGUGUUCUAUCGAGCAUUUCUUAAUAUAUAAUGUCUGAAAGCCUGAGUCCAAGACUAACUUCCUUAAACACGGUAAUCAUUUGCAUAAGAAAUUGUAAUUAAAUUGCUAUUUUAAAAUAGAGGUGCUGAUGGCUAUUAUUAGUGCUUUACAACCAGUUCUAAGUUAUCAACGGGGUACUGGGGUUUUCAUGUGCAGCAACGAAUUUAUAGCUUUUGAGCUGAUACGUAUCAUGAGGAAGAAGAUUAAUUUCAGCCCCCUGAGAAUUAAAAACGACAACAAGAUUUUUCUGGGCUUAUUCGUUUUCCCUUUCUCAAGAAGAAAAAAAGAAAGGGGAAAAAGAAGAAGGGGAAAAAAAAUAGGCGCUACGAAGCUAUAUGAUGCAUCCCGGAACCUCGUCUCUAAACCGUAUAUAACCCGUCUCUCUCUCUCUCUCUCUCUCUCUCUCUCCUGUGAAACAUACCACUUGAGCGCCGUGAUAUUCAGAAAGAUCAAGAUGGCGACCGCAGAAUUACGGGAAUCUUCUUGCACGAUUCCACACUUCCCGACGACGCCGUAGUACUACUUUCCGGUACCGGUCUUCUAUAAAUGUACAUGCCUCUCUCCCUUUCUUUAUUUUUUUUCUUCUCCUUCUCCCCCAAUCUCUCGCCUGCUCGGCUCUCCUCGGUCUCUCUUCUUCAUCUUCUUCUUCGAUGGCUCGAAUCCUUCCGCAAACCCUAAUAGGACGCUCCCAAAAUCUAAUCCGACAUCACCCGUCCCACCUUGCCUCGUCCGCCGCCUUGAGGACGCCAUCCACAGCGUCAUUAUCCGUCGAUCCGCCCCCUAAUGGCUCCAUUUCAUCCCGGGCUCCUCCUGCUCUGUUUCGCCGAGGAAGCAGGCCCACCGAGUGAACCCCAUGACGCAGGAGGAGACGCUCUCUUUCAUGACGAACAGAGGGUGGCCAUCGUCGUCCUCCUUCGUGGAAGAUCAUGCACUGAGGCUUGGAUGCAUUGUAGAAAGCGCCCCACCGACUGGGAAUGACGUAAACAGAGGUGGAGCUGAUUGUCUGCCUAGCUUCUUGUGAUAUUUCUGUAAUUUUAAAAAUAUUUAGAGUCACGAUAUAUCUCUCUGAUUUCAUGACAUGUGAAAGCUGCAGUUACUUUUUACUGUUACGAAUUAUGCAGCGGCUGAGAUAACACAGGUCGAGGAAAAAAAUCAAGCGCAAAGAUACUUUUUGGGAUUGAACAAAAUAUGCCCAACCUGCAUGUCUUGAAAGCAAUACUAUGGAGUCUAGAGCUUGGUCCUCCUGAGGCAUGUCUUGCCCUUUGUAACACCCCAAAGUAAUUGAAAUUGAGAUUAGGGCUGGAAUCAGUCAUCUGAUAUUUGCCUUCCAAUCAAACAUACACCACUGCUGUUAUCUUAAUGCACCAGUCUUGUCAGA
Non-coding RNA from Phoenix dactylifera (date palm), 3633 nucleotides. The record is from RefSeq and is a predicted model, not a curated record. Lineage: Eukaryota; Viridiplantae; Streptophyta; Magnoliopsida; Arecales; Arecaceae.